CAGGCGUGAGGGAUCUUUGAAGAAUUCAAUGGACCACGUGGUGUGAAAGCCGCGAUACAUGGAACUAAAAGUUGGGUCGCCAACAUGGCUACGGCAGCAAGAAGGCUCGGAGACGCAGGCGGUGAUCGAUUCCAACGGUUCACAAGUUUUUUGUUUUGAGGAUAACGGCUAGUGAAUCAAUCAACUUUUGAGGAAGGAAGGAGAGGAGGAGAACUGGUACAGAAAUGUAAUGAUAGAAAUCAUUUUUGAUUGAAACUAGGUUUAUCCAAUAGAAAUAAACUGAUAGAGGAUCGUCAAAAAAAUCAAAUAGCAGCAUAUACUUUUUCGAUAUGAGAAUCAUUAUCUAAUGAAUUCAACGGACUUGCGCUUGAAUUGAAGUAGCGCCUUUUGAAUAUGAGUGGGGCUCCUAGGUGGCACGUUCGUGGAGCCAAACCGAAUGAAGAGCAAAAGGAAGGUUAGGUGAGGCCACCCGGCCUCGAAUAGGAGGGGGCUUAGCUCUAAAUCCCGCCGGCUUGCAGAAAUGAAUGGAUCAAAAGGGAGG
RNAcentral lists this long non-coding RNA (541 nucleotides) under Elaeis guineensis (African oil palm). RNAcentral describes it as "long non-coding RNA (EGUI_LNC072476)". Lineage: Eukaryota; Viridiplantae; Streptophyta; Magnoliopsida; Arecales; Arecaceae. The record is from RNAcentral.